UACGGAGGGUGCAAACGUUGCUCGGAAUCAUUGGGCGUAAAGCGCACGUAGGUGGUCUGUUAAGUCUGAUGUGAAAGCCCUGGGCUCAACCCAGGAAGUGCAUCGGAAACUGGCAGGCUUGAGUAUGGAAGAGGGUCGCGGAAUUCCCGGUGUAGAGGUGAAAUUCGUAGAUAUCGGGAGGAACACCAGUGGCGAAGGCGGCGACCUGGGCCAAUACUGGACACUGAGGUGCGAAAGGCGUGGGGAGCAAACAGG
Molecule: ribosomal RNA, 255 nt
Filed under: uncultured bacterium
Lineage: Bacteria
Description: partial 16S ribosomal RNA
Rfam family: Bacterial small subunit ribosomal RNA
Source: RNAcentral